UGGUGCCUUCUGCUGACCAAGCCCUAUGGGAAGCCAGCUGGCAGGAGAUUCCUAGAGUCAGCCUCCUGGUGCAUAGCAAGGGGCAAAGCAGGGCAAAAAAUGCGUCUGGCCAUUGGGGCUGUGCAGCAAACACAGUGAGCAGAACACAGGAACUUGGUAAAGAAUCCCAAAGUAAGCAAUUGAAGAGGGCAUGUGGAGACACAGCGAGGACAGCCAGACCCAAACUGUUCAACCUACCCCAGCUCAGAUAUCACAUACAUGAGUGAAGGAUUUGCUCUAGAAGAAACCACAUGGAGAAGAAUGGAGGGCCCAGACAGUGGCCUUUUGUUUUGUGUGGGGAAUACCCAUCCUCAGCUAUUUGAGCCACCCCAGCUGAAGCCACAGACUUUGUGGGACAGAGAAAAACAGUCCCUACUUGUGCCCUGACUAAAUUUCAGACUUCCAGAGUCACAAGCAUAAUACAAUAAUUGUUGUUUUACACCCCCAUAUUUUGGGGUGGUUUGUUACACACCAAUAGAUACCUGGGAUAGUAUGUUUUUGAAGCUCUUGGCACAUAAUAAAUUAGUUCCCAGCACAGAGUAUAGCAUUUUAAGAAUUCCCUUCUAAGUAAGCAGCCAAAGUGUUUCUUUGUAUAGAAUUUAGAGGUUGCCAUGUUUUGUACCAACUGUCUAGGCUUAGACCAGGGAUUGUGUCUGACCCUCAGAAGGUUGGCCUGCAUCCUAGGAGAUGGCCUGGUUAGGAGCUCUGGGAGAAAGUUAUGGGCCAGAGGCUGGGAAGCAAUGCAAACUCUAAGAAGGAGAAGCCAUGAGGAGGAAGAGGAGAUGACAAGAUCACCUUCCAGUUCUCCGUGAACUGGGGAGUCUGGGUGUGAUGGGCGUUGUAAUUUGAAUGAUGUUCUAGUAUUCUGUCUUUCUUCCCUGUGAACAUCAACAGUACCCAUUAACUGGAGCAUCCUGAAUAAAUGGUUCUUGCAUCUGCAUCC
This 982-nucleotide long non-coding RNA is filed under the name Homo sapiens (human). RNAcentral describes it as "HSALNT0326907". The record is from RNAcentral. Lineage: Eukaryota; Metazoa; Chordata; Mammalia; Primates; Hominidae.